Molecule: non-coding RNA, 69 nt
Organism: Rattus norvegicus (Norway rat)
Lineage: Eukaryota; Metazoa; Chordata; Mammalia; Rodentia; Muridae
Source: Rfam
GGGGAUUUAGCUCAGUGGUAGAGUGCUUGCCUAGCAAGCACAAGGUCCUGGGUUCAGUCCCCAGCUCCG